GAUGAACGCUGGCGGCGUGCCUAAUACAUGCAAGUCGAGCGAACGGACGAGAAGCUUGCUUUUCCGAUGUUAGCGGCGGACGGGUGAGUAACGCGUGGAUAACCUACCUAUAAGACUGGGAUAACUUCGGGAAACCGGAGCUAAUACCGGAUAAUAUUUUGAACCGCAUGGUUCAAAAGUGAAAGACGGUCUUGCUGUCACUUAUAGAUGGAUCCGCGCUGCAUUAGCUAGUUGGUAAGGUAACGGCUUACCAAGGCAACGAUGCAUAGCCGACCUGAGAGGGUGAUCGGCCACACUGGAACUGAGACACGGUCCAGACUCCUACGGGAGGCAGCAGUAGGGAAUCUUCCGCAAUGGGCGAAAGCCUGACGGAGCAACGCCGCGUGAGUGAUGAAGGUCUUCGGAUCGUAAAACUCUGUUAUUAGGGAAGAACAUAUGUGUAAGUAACUGUGCACAUCUUGACGGUACCUAAUCAGAAAGCCACGGCUAACUACGUG
Molecule: ribosomal RNA, 497 nt
Filed under: uncultured bacterium
Lineage: Bacteria
Description: partial 16S ribosomal RNA
Rfam family: Bacterial small subunit ribosomal RNA
Source: RNAcentral